GCGUUAUCCGGAUUCACUGGGUUUAAAGGGUGCGUAGGAGGGCAGGUAAGUCAGUGGUGAAAUCUUCGAGCUUAACUCGGAAACUGCCGUUGAUACUAUCUGUCUUGAAUACCGUGGAGAUGAGCGGAAUAUGUCAUGUAGCGGUGAAAUGCUUAGAUAUGACAUAGAACACCAAUUGCGAAGGCAGCUCGUUACACGAAUAUUGACUCUGAGGCACGAAAGCGUG
RNAcentral lists this ribosomal RNA (226 nucleotides) under uncultured bacterium. RNAcentral's name for it is "partial 16S ribosomal RNA". It matches the Rfam family "Bacterial small subunit ribosomal RNA", at positions 538 to 763 of the family's 1533-position model. The record is from RNAcentral.